This 466-nucleotide ribosomal RNA is filed under the name uncultured bacterium. Its description in RNAcentral is "partial 16S ribosomal RNA". It matches the Rfam family "Bacterial small subunit ribosomal RNA", at positions 28 to 507 of the family's 1533-position model. The record is from RNAcentral.
GAUGAACGCUGGCGGCGUGCUUAACACAUGCAAGUCGAACGGAAAGGCUCCUGCUUGCAGGGGUACUCGAGUGGCGAACGGGGGAGUAACACGUGGGUGAUCUGCCCUGCACUUCGGGAUAAGCCUGGGAAACUGGGUCUAAUACCGGAUAGGACGAUGGUUUGGAUGCCAUUGUGGAAAGCUUUUUCGGUGUGGGAUGAGCUCGCGGCCUAUCCGCUUGUUGGUGGGGUAGUGGCCUACCAAGGCGUCGACGGGUAGCCGGCCUGAGAGGGUGUACGGCCACAUUGGGACUGAGAUACGGCCCAGACGCCUACGGGAGGCAGCAGUGGGGAAUAUUGCACAAUGGGAGCGAGCCUGAUGCAGCGACGCCGGGUGGGUGAUGACGGCCUUCGGGUUGUAAACUCCUUUCGCUAGGGACGAAGCGCAAGUGACGGUACCUGGAGAAGAAGCACCGGCUAACUACGUG